GGGCCUGUAGUGCUAGCGGCAACACACCUGGUUUGCACCCAGGAGUCAGCGGUUCGAUUCCGCUCGGGUCCA
Molecule: transfer RNA, 72 nt
Filed under: Planctomycetota bacterium
Lineage: Bacteria; Pseudomonadati; Planctomycetota
Description: Planctomycetes bacterium (soil metagenome) tRNA-Ala
Rfam family: tRNA
About the family: Transfer RNA (tRNA) molecules are approximately 80 nucleotides in length. Their secondary structure includes four short double-helical elements and three loops (D, anti-codon, and T loops).
Source: RNAcentral